UCCGUAGAACACUUUUGUUCCGGUCCCGUCGGCCGCGCUGCACGCCUCCACCAGGGGGCGCGUUUGCGUCUCGCUGAGGAUUAGUGGCGGCAGGUCAGGAGGUCUGGAGCUGGGGGCCCGGAACGAUGCAUGGCACACAGUACGAGCUCAGUAGGUACGUGUUGAAUGGGGGCAGUUCCAGAGCAGCUUCUAAUACCGUUGUUAUACCCCAGGAUGUUAUUUGCCAUUGAAGGAAGCAUUCCGUAGAUGGGGAUGAGAAAAAAACCCUGGACCUGUCAGACUUGGUCCAAGUACCAGCUGAGUCUUUAUUUUUUUAUGUUUCCAGAGGAGCCUUCACAGCAGAAAGCCAAGUUCUCUUUAAUUCUCCACUAUUGACAAAGACCGAGGUCAAGUUAGGCCAAAAGCCAAAGUGCUCCUCGUUGAAAAAUGCUGUGGAAGAUUAGGCUAAAUACCAGCCACUCUUUCUUAAUCAAGAAACUCAGCUAACAAGUUGGAGCUUUUAAAUGCAGAAGAAAGAGAAGAGAGUAUAGAAAAGAGGUAAGAGGAAGAUCAGAAGAGAGAAGAAACAACUUCAACUCAACUCAAAUGCCACUCAACUCAAAACCCCAACUCAAAUGCCCCUCAAAAGGCAUCUCUUUCUUCUAUCUCCCAAUAUCCCUUUCUACAUCUUGACUUACCAGGAUAAAAUUAAAUAUAUUUUAGACAGUUCAUGAGAGGUGUGGUGUGUGUGUGUGUGUGUGUGUGUGUGUGUGUG
Long non-coding RNA from Herpailurus yagouaroundi (jaguarundi), 754 nucleotides. RefSeq lists it as uncharacterized. Lineage: Eukaryota; Metazoa; Chordata; Mammalia; Carnivora; Felidae. The record is from RefSeq and is a predicted model, not a curated record. The transcript is spliced from 3 exons.